AUGCCCAGAUAAGUUUGAAUUUCAAAUAAACCAGGAAUACGUCUUUUUAGUAUACUGGUAAGUAUGUUCCAUGCAAUAUUUGGGACAUACUUAUACUAGAAAAUUGUUUGUCAUUUAUCUGAAAUUCAAAUUUA
Molecule: microRNA precursor, 134 nt
Filed under: Myotis lucifugus (little brown bat)
Lineage: Eukaryota; Metazoa; Chordata; Mammalia; Chiroptera; Vespertilionidae
Description: miRNA (ENSMLUG00000027044.1)
Source: RNAcentral